UAAAUCUCAUCUCUCUGCUUUUAUAUUUCUGAAAGCUGGAAGCUGAAAUCCUAUAAUUGAUCUACAAUAGUGGGAAAGACAGAUUGAGUAUAAAUAGAAUCCUUGAAAAAAUCAAACAUGUUUACCCUUUUAUCUCUUUACAGCAAGAUUCUGUUACGCUUUUGAACUCGGGAGUACUUAAGUUCUAGGACUCUUUGUCAGAUCUGAACAUUUUAAGGCGGUUACUCUGAAAGUCGAGAACCUUUUCUCUCUACCUCUCCCAGUUCUCGAAUUCCAUCCAAACCCAGAAGAUAUUCACAAUUGUGAGAGCUACCCAUUUCUCAUAACGGUGCCACAAAUUAUGGGUCCUCCUUGGUUUCUUAGAAUUCUCACGGUUUCUUGCUUUCUGGCUCUGUUUUUCUCUCAAGGUUUUGGGAGAAAUUUGAUGGAGAGAGGUGAUCAGCAUGGGGACUCUUCAUUCCCAAUAGAGGAAAUUGAUCAAAGUGUUAGGAAGAUGUAUGAAGUGAUGGACUAUUCAGAUCCGGAGCCGAAUGUGAACCCAAGAACAGGGUACAUCUUCACCCCUCCUCCUCAGCCCAAUAACUAAGAUCAUCAUGAUCAACAAUUUGUUUCUAGAAAUAAAGUCAUAUCAUGAUCACCAUGAAGGUUUUUUUGUGUUCUACUUUCUUUUUGUCUUUCAGUUUUGUUCAUGAUCACUAUGAAAUCUCAGUUCAUUUCCUAGUUCCCCCAAUUUGUCUAGGGUAAUAUGCUUUGGUUUCCUGACUUUCCUCAGCUCUGAAUGUUCAUGUUCUUUUUGUCGAACUUGUGAUUAUGACACUGCUAUUUCAGAAUUUACAGAAGGCUUAUAUCAUUCAUGGAAUCUAUUUGUUUUGGAUAACAUUUGACAAUUGACACUGAUCUAGUCUGAUAUAUAUUGGCAAGUGUGGCAAUAUACAAAUAUUUGACUAUACUCCAUGAGGUACCAUUUGACUGUACUUUGAGGUUUUGAUCCCUGAAUUGAUCACAGUCUUGUAAGCAUGGAAGACUUGGGAGUGAAAAAUAUAGAUAGAUAAACCAAUCUUGUGGUUGGAUUCGAUGUUACUGUCGCAUAAAU
This is an RNA transcript of Fragaria vesca subsp. vesca, 1093 nucleotides long. RefSeq lists it as uncharacterized. The record is from RefSeq and is a predicted model, not a curated record. NCBI's taxonomy places the organism in Eukaryota, Viridiplantae, Streptophyta, Magnoliopsida, Rosales, Rosaceae. The transcript has 3 exons.